This 542-nucleotide ribosomal RNA is filed under the name Staphylococcus aureus. Its description in RNAcentral is "bacterial SSU rRNA". It matches the Rfam family "Bacterial small subunit ribosomal RNA", at positions 1 to 525 of the family's 1533-position model. The record is from RNAcentral. Lineage: Bacteria; Bacillati; Bacillota; Bacilli; Caryophanales; Staphylococcaceae.
UUUAUGGAGAGUUUGAUCCUGGCUCAGGAUGAACGCUGGCGGCGUGCCUAAUACAUGCAAGUCGAGCGAACGGACGAGAAGCUUGCUUCUCUGAUGUUAGCGGCGGACGGGUGAGUAACACGUGGAUAACCUACCUAUAAGACUGGGAUAACUUCGGGAAACCGGAGCUAAUACCGGAUAAUAUUUUGAACCGCAUGGUUCAAAAGUGAAAGACGGUCUUGCUGUCACUUAUAGAUGGAUCCGCGCUGCAUUAGCUAGUUGGUAAGGUAACGGCUUACCAAGGCAACGAUGCAUAGCCGACCUGAGAGGGUGAUCGGCCACACUGGAACUGAGACACGGUCCAGACUCCUACGGGAGGCAGCAGUAGGGAAUCUUCCGCAAUGGGCGAAAGCCUGACGGAGCAACGCCGCGUGAGUGAUGAAGGUCUUCGGAUCGUAAAACUCUGUUAUUAGGGAAGAACAUAUGUGUAAGUAACUGUGCACAUCUUGACGGUACCUAAUCAGAAAGCCACGGCUAACUACGUGCCAGCAGCCGCGGUAAUA